AACGGUUAAUCACGGGCUGGUUUCACGGGUUCACCGGGUUGGAAUCAAACCAUGUACAGGGCUAGCAUCCUCUCGCCUCGCCUCCCUUUCCCCGCCGCCGCAGCCACGCGCCCGACCCACCUCCGCCUCGCCUGCGCCGCCGCAACACCACCACCUCACCCGCAGGCCGCAGCCAACGCCACCACACCUGGCUUCCCUCCCGAUUCAGACUCCUCCAUGGCCGGCGGAGGGACGAGCUCUCCAUGAAGCCGGCGGAGGGACGAGCUCUCCAUGAAGCCGGCGGCCGAGCUGUUCAAGAAUCCGGCGGCGGGACGAGCUCUCCACGGCCGCCGCCGGUCCAGGUGAAUUUUUCCGACGGAGGUACGAGUGGAUGAGGCGCCCGAUAGUGGGGAACCAGCUGCGCCACGCCACACCAGGUCUCGGCAUCGCCAUCGUCGCCUUCGGGAUCUACCUCAUAGGCGAGGCCGCCUACAACCGCGUCUACCGUCCCUCCGGCGACCACCACCACUAGACGGCCAGUCGGGAUCCGUGGCUCCAAGGUAAAUCCCCCACCCGCUUCCCUAUUUCUUGU
RNAcentral lists this long non-coding RNA (571 nucleotides) under Setaria italica (foxtail millet). RNAcentral's name for it is "long non-coding RNA (SITA_LNC002921)". The record is from RNAcentral. Lineage: Eukaryota; Viridiplantae; Streptophyta; Magnoliopsida; Poales; Poaceae.